UUGAGUUUGAUCCUGGCUCACUUUGAACGCUAGCGACAGGCUUAACACAUGCAAGUCGAGGGGCAGCACGGGUAGCAAUACCGGGUGGCGACCGGCGCACGGGUGAGUAACGCGUAUGCAACUUGCCUAUCAGAGGGGGAUAACCCGGCGAAAGUCGGACUAAUACCGCAUGAAGCAGGGGCCCCGCAUGGGGAUAUUUGCUAAAGAUUCAUCGCUGAUAGAUAGGCAUGCGUUCCAUUAGGCAGUUGGCGGGGUAACGGCCCACCAAACCGACGAUGGAUAGGGGUUCUGAGAGGAAGGUCCCCCACAUUGGUACUGAGACACGGACCAAACUCCUACGGGAGGCAGCAGUGAGGAAUAUUGGUCAAUGGGCGUAAGCCUGAACCAGCCAAGUCGCGUGAGGGAUGAAGGUUCUAUGGAUCGUAAACCUCUUUUAUAAGGGAAUAAAGUGCGGGACGUGUCCCGUUUUGUAUGUACCUUAUGAAUAAGGAUCGGCUAACUCCGUGCCAGCAGCCGCGGUAAUACGGAGGAUCCGAGCGUUAUCCGGAUUUAUUGGGUUUAAGGGUGCGUAGGCGGCCUUUUAAGUCAGCGGUGAAAGUCUGUGGCUCAACCAUAGAAUUGCCGUUGAAACUGGGGGGCUUGAGUAUGUUUGAGGCAGGCGGAAUGCGUGGUGUAGCGGUGAAAUGCUUAGAUAUCACGCAGAACCCCGAUUGCGAAGGCAGCCUGCCAAGCCAUGACUGACGCUGAUGCACGAAAGCGUGGGGAUCAAACAGGAUUAGAUACCCUGGUAGUCCACGCAGUAAACGAUGAUCACUAGCUGUUUGCGAUACACUGUAAGCGGCACAGCGAAAGCGUUAAGUGAUCCACCUGGGGAGUACGCCGGCAACGGUGAAACUCAAAGGAAUUGACGGGGGCCCGCACAAGCGGAGGAACAUGUGGUUUAAUUCGAUGAUACGCGAGGAACCUUACCCGGGUUUGAACGCAUUUCGACCGCUCUGGAAACAGAGCCUCUAGCAAUAGCGAUUUGCGAGGUGCUGCAUGGUUGUCGUCAGCUCGUGCCGUGAGGUGUCGGCUUAAGUGCCAUAACGAGCGCAACCCUUGCCACUAGUUACUAACAGGUAAAGCUGAGGACUCUGGUGGGACUGCCAGCGUAAGCUGCGAGGAAGGCGGGGAUGACGUCAAAUCAGCACGGCCCUUACAUCCGGGGCGACACACGUGUUACAAUGGCGUGGACAAAGGGAAGCCACCUGGCGACAGGGAGCGAAUCCCCAAACCACGUCUCAGUUCGGAUCGGAGUCUGCAACCCGACUCCGUGAAGCUGGAUUCGCUAGUAAUCGCGCAUCAGCCAUGGCGCGGUGGAUACGUUCCCGGGCCUUGUACACACCGCCCGUCAAGCCAUGGGAGCCGGGGGUACCUGAAGUCCGUAACCGCGAGGAUCGGCCUAGGGUAAAACUGGUGACUGGGGCUAAGUCGUAACAAGGUAGCCGUA
Molecule: ribosomal RNA, 1489 nt
Filed under: uncultured bacterium
Lineage: Bacteria
Description: 16S ribosomal RNA
Rfam family: Bacterial small subunit ribosomal RNA
Source: RNAcentral